UAGUCUAGUGGUUAAGGCUAUGGAUCGCCAAUCCGGAGACGGCGGGUUCGAUUCCCGU
This is a non-coding RNA of Aedes albopictus (Asian tiger mosquito), 58 nucleotides long. The record is from Rfam. Lineage: Eukaryota; Metazoa; Arthropoda; Insecta; Diptera; Culicidae.